Paramisgurnus dabryanus is the source of this 1661-nucleotide long non-coding RNA. RefSeq lists it as uncharacterized. NCBI's taxonomy places the organism in Eukaryota, Metazoa, Chordata, Actinopteri, Cypriniformes, Cobitidae. The record is from RefSeq and is a predicted model, not a curated record.
CAGGUUUAUAAUCUUAGGAUUAGAAUAAAAUACUAGCGUAAUAGCUAAAAAAAAGUUAAAUAAAAAGAUUAAAUAAAAAGAUUAAAUUAUCCUAUAUGACAAAGAACAACCAAAAGUUUUAAAUUCACAAUUUAAUAAUAAUUUAAUGCGAUUUAAAUUGUUUAUGUAGUUUUCUAAGAUGUUUAUUUAUGUAAAUGCUGUGUGUGUGUUCUGCGGGUGCUGCCCCUUUAAAUCCGUUGAAGUGACGUCAGUUACCAUGGAAACGAGGCUACAAGGAACAACAGAAAGCGGUGAUGCUCCGUGUCUCUUAUGGUUUUCUUCACUUUUUCAGGAGUGACAAAAUAACCCCUCUAUAAUAGAAAAUAAGCUCAAGAUUUCUGCAUUUUCGAAUGGAGCUGCUGAAAGAGAUGUUGAAAACUCAGAUUUGUCCAUGCUGAUGGCCAUGCAGCAGAGUUCAAGCAAACCUGUCAGAAAACAUCUCUAAGGGGCUAUGUAUGAACCAUAUGGCUAGAUGCCCAUACAAGUUACAGAAGCUCCAGUAUGGAUCCAGCCUCACUUGUAAAGACUUCAGAUGAUGCCUACACUCUCAGAGACUUCAGAUGAUGGCAACUAAAUGGACAUACAAAACUGCCAAACAUUUUAUAUAUAUAUAUAUAUAUAUAUAUAUAGCACUCACUGCCUCAAAGCAUAAGUUUGCAGAUUUUCAACCCACAUUAUAUUUUUACAAUAAAUUGGGGUAUUUGAAUGGACAAUGUUAACGCUUUUUUCUUGAGUUAAACUUAAAUUCCCAAUUAGUUCUUGACAAUACUCUGCCAGAUGACAGAUUACAUAUAUUACAGACAUUGGAACAAUACAAAGUGGGUUGGAAAUCUGUAAACUUCCUUUAUAAUCAUAAUUGUCUGUUUAACUGAGCAUGACUUGAAACACAUGCCUUGUAUUAUCUUAGAGCUAUAUGAUUACUGUAUUAACAUUACUUCGUUACUUAAUGAGAUUAAUGCGUAUCCCUAGUUUCACAGACAAGGCUUAAGCCUAUAGUCCUGGACUAAGACACAUGUUUGAGCGGUCUCAAUUGAAAAGAACUUUCAAUGCGAGAUUUUAAAAUAAACCAGUGCCAGUGAUUUUUCUUAAGAUAGACACCAGUAACAAUUUUUUUCUAAGGCAUGUUUAUUAAAGAUGCUUAAACAUCUUAAUUUAACUAAGGCAUAGUCUAGUAGCUUUAGCUAAGCCAUGUCUGUGAAACCAGGCCUUUAUACAUUUUCUUAAUGCAUUAAGAUAUGUAAGUUGAAUUAAAAGAUUAAAUUCGGUUUAAACUUUAUUGGUAAAACAUACCAAGCAGAUUAGGCCAGAAAAUAAACCAAAUGUGUUAAAUUACAGUUUGCUGGACUAUUGUAUGAAUUUAAUAAUUAUUAAAAUCCUCAUACUUGUUUGACAAAUUAAUAUAUCAUUAUUGAGAACUGAGAUAAGUGGUAUUAUUAAAUAUUUGGUUUAACACCUUACAAUGAUUUUAAUUACCAUGCAAAGUGUUACAUUUCUUUGGCAUUUUGUUUAGUUUUGUUUUGUUUUUAGUAAACGUUUCCAGUGUUUGUAUACAAUUAUUUUAACUUGAUAUAUCUGUUAUGACGUCUUUGACAAGCUAUUAAACGUUUUUUUUUUUAACAUUA